This 425-nucleotide long non-coding RNA is filed under the name Homo sapiens (human). Its description in RNAcentral is "HSALNT0241345". Lineage: Eukaryota; Metazoa; Chordata; Mammalia; Primates; Hominidae. The record is from RNAcentral.
GGGUGAAGGGGAUCACGGCCUGGGGAUUGGAGGGGCACAUCUUCUCCGCACCGAGGAUCUCAGCGACUGCGAGCACGGCUCGGAGACCCACGGUGGUGCAGCGUUGGGGCGCCAGGGCUGCGUUCCCGUCUCGCGUCCCGGACUGAGAAGAGCCACUGACAAGACUUUAAGCAAGAGACGGAGAGUUAACAUCUAAUCUGGAGGAAGACCCUGGAAGGAGCCAGCCCCUUCCCCCAGGCUGACCUGGUUUAAGCCUUUCUUCUGCCAAGGUCACCAGCACCCCAGAUGGGUGAGAGAUGUGAUCACUGGUUUCGUGGCCUGACCAAGGACCUCCAAGGUGAGUCAAAGCAGAAUUCUCCUUGGGCAUGCAGGGAAAAUGAUCCAUUCCCUGCACACUGCCAUAUUCUCCUUCUCAGACAGACCAG